RNAcentral lists this long non-coding RNA (1306 nucleotides) under Pan troglodytes (chimpanzee). RNAcentral describes it as "lncRNA (ENSPTRG00000053826.1)". Lineage: Eukaryota; Metazoa; Chordata; Mammalia; Primates; Hominidae. The record is from RNAcentral.
UUGCCAGACUUAGAAGACUUGAUGAAAAGGGAGAACCAGAAGAUUCUGACUCCCCUGGUGAGCCUGGACACCCCAGGGAAAGCAACAGUACAGGUGGUCAUUCUGGCCGACCCUGACGGACAUGAAAUUUGCUUUGUCGGGGAUGAAGCAUUUCGAGAACUUUCUAAGAUGGAUCCAGAGGGAAGCAAAUUGUUGGAUGAUGCAAUGGCAGCAGAUAAAAGUGACGAGUGGUUUGCUAAACACAAUAAACCCAAAGCUUCAGGUUAACGGAAGACAUGAUGCAGAGCAAGCCUCUGUGAUUCCUGCCCAGCACCUGUGAGGCCUGACGUGUCAGUUCCCAAUAAAUGCUCUUCUGAUUUGUUUCCCGUAUAGGCAAGGAGGCUCGGGUAGUGCAGAUUUGUGUAUUUCAAUCUUUGAAAGCUCUGAUGUAGUUUAGAAAUGAAAUCCAAUCAUGAGUCCAGGUAGAGAACGCCUGCUGUAAUCUGCGCAUUCUGUAUAUAACUGUGUUGGAUGAGUGACAGAUGAUUGUGCAGACUAGGACAGCGGCAUGAACAUGACUUUGGUUGGGACUGCGGAUAGUUAGGGUUACCUCUGAAUCAUGUAGCUUUUAUGAGAGCAGCUGUGAAAGUGAAUCCACAUUAAUGGCUUGUCGUGGUGCCACUCCCAGCACCUGACGAUAUGCUCUUCUAUUGUCUUAUUCUGGCAGGUUUUGACGUUUUAAAUUUUUUAAAGAAAUUUUAUUCCUUGGACCAAAAGGUUUGGUUAACCACCCCCAUCUUACUUGCUUUCACAUUUUGAGUGUCCAGAGGAAACAGAAAGGGAUGAGUGUGCGAGCUUCUUUCUGCGUAUAUAUUUUGUUUUUUCUGUGUAUAUUUUUAAUCCCGACAGAACAUCAUGUGAGAUUUCUUUAAAAUGGAUUAAACGAUUUCUUCAGCCUGAAAAAGAAGGUUUUGAAAAUGUUUUCUUGUAGUUUUGUUUGGUUCUAAACAACAAAUAGGUUUUAAUCACUCGAAAUGGAAUUAUAUUGUGUAUUCAUUGAAUAAAUUUUUUUUGAAAGUAAGCUUCUGAAAUCAAGCUGUGAUACCAGUCUCUAAGUCUCAUCAUUUAAAGUGGUGGCCAGGUUCAGAUUUUUAAAAAUAAACUUAGGAGAUUGGAAGGGAUUGACUCAGAGGAUCCUGGUUCCAAAAGAACAUAUAUAGAAUUACUUGUAAAUCAUAACCUCUGCUUUCCUCCCUUACUGGCAGGGCGUGGGGCAUGGAAAUUUUGGUUGUAUUUGAGCUUAUCUUCUUAUAGGGGUGAUGCUAUU